UGUCAUGGUGACUGUCAGCUGUGCGGCAGUCCCAGCCAAUCACGGUGGGAGACUAUCUAUAAAGGCGGGCGUAGAGCACAUGUCGGCAUCUUGCUUGCCGUAGGCUGGGUCACGUUGCGCCUGGGCGUCCAUUUCCGCUUCCGUGCGGUGACAGGCUCUUGCUUGCCGGAGGCUGGGUCACGUAGCUCCUGUGCGUCUAUUUCCGCUUCUGUGCAGUGAUAGGGCUCACUUGGAUGUUGCUGCUGGCUGCGCGCUGCUCAUCGAUACAUGGCCGAUGCCGCCUACUGAACUGUCGCUUUGGUAUAGCGUCCCGUUCCCUGCUCCACGCCACGUUGGCCGGGACUGCCCGAUUGGGUGGCCGACAGUAGCGGCGCAGCGGCGGCCAAUCCACCUAUAAAAACCACUGCUGCUUUGCUUCAACGUUAUUACCGCCUUGCCAGGGCCAGCUCGGACCCGAUCGCUUUGCCGUUCAUUCGGCUAGCGAUAGUUUGUUCCUUUUCCUGUUGUGUCGCUAUCUCUUUUGUUUAGUUGGUGCAACUACAUCUUAAAGUGUGAAUGUUAUGUUAUGUAAGAGUUUUUGCUGAUUUCUCCUUGUGUUUAGUUAUUAUAGAUUUUGUUUAUUUAAUUAAUUUCUCUUAUUAUUAUUUUGUUUCCAUUAUGUUUUCUAACUGGUUGCUCUGCGAUCCCCCUCAAUUCAGGUGCUGAGCCUACGGUGGUGGACUGGUGUCCUGGUCACGGUGUCCCUUUUGUAUUGUGUUUGCAGUUGGUUUAUUUUUCAUUUGUUUUACGCGUGGUGUUCCUGGGACCCCCUUUCCUUUGGAUGCAGGUGUUCACAGUAGGUCUCAGCACUGAUUGGAUCUCAGCACCCAAUUUCCCUCCUUAGUGAGUAAUUAUUUAGUAGUCUUAAGAACAGACAUUUUGUAUAAAUAAAAG
Long non-coding RNA from Gadus chalcogrammus (walleye pollock), 933 nucleotides. RefSeq lists it as uncharacterized. The record is from RefSeq and is a predicted model, not a curated record. NCBI's taxonomy places the organism in Eukaryota, Metazoa, Chordata, Actinopteri, Gadiformes, Gadidae. The transcript is spliced from 3 exons.